UCUGAGAAAGGAUUUCUGUGGGGAAGGGGCUGUUGGGCGUUGGAAUGGGCUGCCAAGGGCAGGGGGGGAGUCCCCGGGAUCCCUGGAGGGUGUUGAAGAGUCGGGGUGACCCAUCGCUGAGGGAUCUGGGGGAGUUGGGAACGGUCAGGGUGAGGUUCGUGGUUGGACUGGAGGAGCUUCAAGGGCUUUUCUGACC
Long non-coding RNA from Athene cunicularia (burrowing owl), 196 nucleotides. RefSeq lists it as uncharacterized. NCBI's taxonomy places the organism in Eukaryota, Metazoa, Chordata, Aves, Strigiformes, Strigidae. The transcript has 3 exons. The record is from RefSeq and is a predicted model, not a curated record.